This 879-nucleotide long non-coding RNA is filed under the name Homo sapiens (human). Its description in RNAcentral is "HSALNT0010084". Lineage: Eukaryota; Metazoa; Chordata; Mammalia; Primates; Hominidae. The record is from RNAcentral.
CCUGGGCUAGGUGCUGCAAAGUCCUAUAGCGACUGCCAUUGAGAAGUGAAGCCGGCUAGGCUUCUGGGUCAGGUGAGGACCUGAAGAACGUUUCUGUCUAGCUGAAGGUUUGUAAACGCACCAAUCAGUGCUUUGUCAAAACGGACCCAUCAGCUCUCUGUAAAACGGACCAAUCAGCUCUCUGUAAAAUGGACCAAUCAGCUCUCUAUAAAAUGGACCAAGCAGUAGGAUGUGGGUGGGGCCAGAUAAGGGAACGAAAGCAGGCCUCCCAAGCCAGGAGCGGCAAACUGCUGGGAUCCAUUUCCAUGCUGUGGACUCUUUGUGCUUUGCUCUUUGCAGUAAAUCUUGCUGCUGCUCACUUUUUGGGUCUGCACCACCUUUAUGAGCUGUAACACUCACCGCGAAGGUCUGCAGCUUUACACCUGAAGCCAGGGAGACCACGAACUCAUCAGGAGGAACGAACAACUCCAGACGCGCGGCCUUUAAGAGCUGUAACACUCAACGCGAAGGUCUGCAGCUUCACUCUUGAAGUCAGCGAAACCGCAAACCCACCAGAAGGAAGAAACUCCGGACACAUCUGAACACCUGAAGGAACAAACCCCGGACACACCAUCUCUAAGAACUGUAACACUCACCGCCAGGGUCCGCGGCUUCAUUCUUGAAUCAGUGAGACCAAGAACCCACCAAUUCCAGACACAGAAGUAUCUUGGCUUUCUCUUUUCCAGAGAAAGAGUGUGUUUUAUCCUGCAGCACGUCAGCUUCAAAGGGCUCUUACUUCAAGUGUCCAGCGCAUCAUUCUGGUAAAUUAAGAAAUCCUCGGCUUAAGAUCGUCUCUUUCAAUCACAUAUAAUGUGGGUAACUUCAUGACUAAACAUUAUA